Molecule: ribosomal RNA, 491 nt
Filed under: uncultured bacterium
Lineage: Bacteria
Description: partial 16S ribosomal RNA
Rfam family: Bacterial small subunit ribosomal RNA
Source: RNAcentral
AGUGAACGCUGGCGGUAGGCCUAACACAUGCAAGUCGAACGGCAGCACAGUAAGAGCUUGCUCUUACGGGUGGCGAGUGGCGGACGGGUGAGGAAUACAUCGGAAUCUACUUUUUCGUGGGGGAUAACGUAGGGAAACUUACGCUAAUACCGCAUGCGACCUACGGGUGAAAGCAGGGGAUCUUCGGACCUUGCGCGAUUGAAUGAGCCGAUGUCGGAUUAGCUAGUUGGCGGGGUAAAGGCCCACCAAGGCGACGAUCCGUAGCUGGUCUGAGAGGAUGAUCAGCCACACUGGAACUGAGACACGGUCCAGACUCCUACGGGAGGCAGCAGUGGGGAAUAUUGGACAAUGGGCGCAAGCCUGAUCCAGUCAUACCGCGUGGGUGAAGAAGGCCUUCGGGUUGUAAAGCCCUUUUGUUGGGAAAGAAAAGCAGCAGGUUAAUACCCCGCUGUUCUGACGGUACCCAAAGAAUAAGCACCGGCUAACUUCGU